RNAcentral lists this ribosomal RNA (433 nucleotides) under uncultured bacterium. RNAcentral's name for it is "partial 16S ribosomal RNA". It matches the Rfam family "Bacterial small subunit ribosomal RNA", at positions 29 to 507 of the family's 1533-position model. The record is from RNAcentral.
AACGAACGCUGGCGGCAUGCCUAACACAUGCAAGUCGAACGAGACCUUCGGGUCUAGUGGCGCACGGGUGCGUAACGCGGGGGAACCUGCCCUUAGGUGCGGAAUAACUCCCCGAAAGGGGUGCUAAUACCGGAUAAUAUCGUCGGACCAAAGAUGUAUUGCCUUUGGAUGGGCCCGCGUUGGCUUAGCUGGUUGGUAGGGUAAAAGCCUACCAAGGCGACGAGACAUAGCUGGUCUGAGAGGAUGAUCCGCAACACUGGGACUGAGACACGGUCCAGACUCCUACGCGAGGGAGCAGUGGGGAAUCUUGGACUGCGGGCUAAAGCCUGAUCCAGUACUGCUGCUUGAGUGCUGAAGGCCUUAGGGUUGUAAAGCUCUCUUACCCGGGAUGAUAAUGACAGUACCGGGAGAAUAAGCUCCGGCUAACUCCGUG